Molecule: long non-coding RNA, 1257 nt
Filed under: Homo sapiens (human)
Lineage: Eukaryota; Metazoa; Chordata; Mammalia; Primates; Hominidae
Description: novel transcript, sense overlapping POU3F3
Source: RNAcentral
GGUUGAGCGUCCAUGUGUGGCUACUGGGUUUGCUGGGGACACCUCUUGCCUGCCAGGGUGAGCACACGCAGCAGUGAGCAGCCCCGUGUGACCCCACGGGAUGAGGAUGCCAUGAUGUCAGCAUCCCUUCUGACUUGGAGUUCUGGAGAUUUGGAAGUCCAAGAUCAAGGUGCUGCCGGAUUUGGUUCUUGUCUGGGUUCAUAGAAGAUUGUCCUCACCAUAGGCAUGGGCAAAGACUUCAUGACAAAAACACAAAAAGCAAUUGCAACAAAAGCCAAAAUUGACAAAUGGGAUCUAAUUAAACUAAAGAGCUUCUGCACAGCAAAAGAAACUCUCAUUGGAGUAAACAGGCAACCUACAGAAUGGGAGAAAAUUUUUGCCAUCUAUCUAUCUGACAAAGGGCUAAUAUCCAGAAUCUACAAAGAACUUCAACAAAUUUACAAGAAAAAAACAAACAACCCCAUCAAAAAGUGGGUGAAGGAUAUGAACAGACACUUCCUAAAAGAAGACAUUUAUGUGGCCAAUAAACAUAUGAAAAAAAGCUCAUCACCAUUGAUCAUUAGAGAAAUGCAAAUCAAAACCACAAUGAGAUACCAUCUCAUGCCAGUUAGAAUAGUGAUGAUUAAAAAGUCAAGAAACAACAGCUGCUUUAGAGGAUGUGGAUAAACAGGAACACUUUUACACUGUUGGUGGGAGUGUAAAUUAGUUCAACCAUUGUGGAAGACAGUAUGGCAAUUCCUCAAGGAUCUAGAACCAGAAAUACCAUUUGACCCAGCAAUCCCAUUAUACCCAAAGGAUUAUAAAUCAUUCUGCUAUAAAGACACAUGCAAAUGUAUGUUUAUUGCAGCACUGUUCACAAUAGCAAAGACUUGGAACCAACCCAAAUGCCCAUCAAUGAUAGACUAGAUAAAGAAAAUGUGGCACAUAUAUACCAUCGAAUACUAUGCAGCCAUAAAAAAGGAUGAGUUCAUGUUGUUUGCAGGGACAUGGAUGAAGCUGGAAACCGUCAUUCUCAGCAAACUAACACAAGAACAGAAAACUAAACACUGCAUGUUCUCACUCAUAAGUGGGAGUUGAACAAUGAGAACACAUGGACAUAGGGACAUAGGGAGGGGAACAUCACACACUGGGGCCUGUCAGGGGGUGAGGGGCUAGGGGAGGGAUAGCAUUAGAAGAAACACCUAAUGUAGAUGAUGGGUGGAUGGGCGCAACAAACCACCAUGGUGUGUGUAUACCUAUGUAACAAACCUGCACAUU